This 498-nucleotide ribosomal RNA is filed under the name uncultured bacterium. RNAcentral describes it as "partial 16S ribosomal RNA". It matches the Rfam family "Bacterial small subunit ribosomal RNA", at positions 29 to 523 of the family's 1533-position model. The record is from RNAcentral.
AUUGAACGCUGGCGGCAUGCUUUACACAUGCAAGUCGAACGGUAACAGGCCGCAAGGUGCUGACGAGUGGCGAACGGGUGAGUGAUGCAUCGGAACGUGCCCAGUCGUGGGGGAUAACGCAGCGAAAGCUGCGCUAAUACCGCAUACGAUCUAUGGAUGAAAGCGGGGGACCGAAAGGCCUCGCGCGAUUGGAGCGGCCGAUGUCAGAUUAGGUAGUUGGUGGGGUAAAGGUCCACCAAGCCAACGAUCUGUAGCUGGUCUGAGAGGACGACCAGCCACGCUGGGACUGAGACACGGCCCAGACUCCUACGGGAGGCAGCAGUGGGGAAUUUUGGACAAUGGGCGCAAGCCUGAUCCAGCAAUGCCGCGUGCAGGAAGAAGGCCUUCGGGUUGUAAACUGCUUUUGUACGGAACGAAACGGUCCGGGUUAAUACCCUGGGCUAAUGACGGUACCGUAAGAAUAAGCACCGGCUAACUACGUGCCAGCCGCCGCCGUAA